Non-coding RNA from Pelobates cultripes (western spadefoot toad), 395 nucleotides. The record is from the annotation of a GenBank genome assembly. NCBI's taxonomy places the organism in Eukaryota, Metazoa, Chordata, Amphibia, Anura, Pelobatidae.
GUAUGGGAGGGGAUAUGCUGUUAAUAAAAGUCUCAUGCACCAGGUAUUUGUCCCUCCGAAUUUUGGAACAGGAGUUCAUCUGAGACCCAAUCGAUAAUGUGAAUAAAGGCCUCUUACUUCCUGAAGACUUGUGUCCAUAUCUCUGUGUUUGGCUUUUGCAUGCUUACACUGUUACACUACUAACAGUGUAACUUUUAACAGCGCUAUUAAUAAGCAUUAUGUAAUUCACCAAUAAGGAUUGCAUGAGGACAGUAUGGCUAUAACUAAAAAGAAAAAUACUGUAAGAUGUAACGUAACAUUUAUUUGCCCUGUCAUGUUGAAAAGCUCUGUAGAAUGUUCGAACAUUGGGAGAUCCUGAGGGAGUAAGAGAAGAGAAAGCAAUUGGGAAAGGUAAG